This 75-nucleotide transfer RNA is filed under the name Alphaproteobacteria bacterium. RNAcentral's name for it is "tRNA-Val". It matches the Rfam family "tRNA". From Rfam's summary of the family: Transfer RNA (tRNA) molecules are approximately 80 nucleotides in length. Their secondary structure includes four short double-helical elements and three loops (D, anti-codon, and T loops). RNAcentral also lists the same sequence under 1 other name. The record is from RNAcentral. Lineage: Bacteria; Pseudomonadati; Pseudomonadota; Alphaproteobacteria.
GGGCGCGUAGCUCAGCGGGAGAGCACUUGCGUGACAUGCAAGGGGUCGCUGGUUCAAUCCCAGCCGCGCCCACCA